This 88-nucleotide transfer RNA is filed under the name Oscillospiraceae bacterium. Its description in RNAcentral is "tRNA-Ser". It matches the Rfam family "tRNA". From Rfam's summary of the family: Transfer RNA (tRNA) molecules are approximately 80 nucleotides in length. Their secondary structure includes four short double-helical elements and three loops (D, anti-codon, and T loops). Further hydrogen bonds mediate the characteristic L-shaped molecular structure. tRNAs have two regions of fundamental functional importance: the anti-codon, which is responsible for specific mRNA codon recognition, and the 3' end, to which the tRNAs corresponding amino acid is attached (by aminoacyl-tRNA synthetases). tRNAs cope with the degeneracy of the genetic code in two manners: having more than one tRNA (with a specific anti-codon) for a particular amino acid; and 'wobble' base-pairing, i.e. permitting non-standard base-pairing at the 3rd anti-codon position. Lineage: Bacteria; Bacillati; Bacillota; Clostridia; Eubacteriales; Oscillospiraceae. The record is from RNAcentral.
GCAGUGGUAUCGAAGUGGUCAUAACGAGCACGAUUGGAAAUCGUGUAGCCGUUAACCCGGCUCGAGGGUUCGAAUCCCUCCCACUGCG